This 525-nucleotide ribosomal RNA is filed under the name Lysinibacillus fusiformis. RNAcentral's name for it is "bacterial SSU rRNA". It matches the Rfam family "Bacterial small subunit ribosomal RNA", at positions 1 to 505 of the family's 1533-position model. The record is from RNAcentral. Lineage: Bacteria; Bacillati; Bacillota; Bacilli; Caryophanales; Bacillaceae.
UUUGGAAGAAGGUUGAUCCUGGCUCAGGACGAACGCUGGCGGCGUGCCUAAUACAUGCAAGUCGAGCGAACAGAAAAGGAGCUUGCUCCUUUGACGUUAGCGGCGGACGGGUGAGUAACACGUGGGCAACCUACCCUAUAGUUUGGGAUAACUCCGGGAAACCGGGGCUAAUACCGAAUAAUCUCUUUUACUUCAUGGUGAAAGACUGAAAGACGGCUUCUCGCUGUCGCUAUAGGAUGGGCCCGCGGCGCAUUAGCUAGUUGGUGAGGUAACGGCUCACCAAGGCCGACGAUGCGUAGCCGACCUGAGAGGGUGAUCGGCCACACUGGGACUGAGACACGGCCCAGACUCCUACGGGAGGCAGCAGUAGGGAAUCUUCCACAAUGGGCGAAAGCCUGAUGGAGCAACGCCGCGUGAGUGAAGAAGGUUUUCGGAUCGUAAAACUCUGUUGUAAGGGAAGAACAAGUACAGUAGUAACUGGCUGUACCUUGACGGUACCUUAUUAGAAAGCCACGGCUCGCCGCU